AAUGCAUGGGGGAUACUGUCGGAUGCGUGCGCAUCUUGCCGCCUAGUCGAAAGUUCCUUCGGGUAUCUCCGUCAGACUGCCCCUGUGAAAGCAAAGUGGCAGGAGGAAGCCGAGUCAGGACCGCUAUCUUCGUUCCCAGACACCGGACAGAGCGGGAGAAGAUGAGACUCGCCCUUCAUAGGGGUCGACGCGUCGAAGAGGUUCUGGGAUCUCCUCGGACCUGCACAACGGCCCAGGGGAUGGCGUUGAGAGGGCUGGUCCCUCUCAAUGCCCGAAUUAACUUAGGAACGACUCCUCUAGAAUGGGAGAAGACGCAGGAGUGCUCCGGUAGUAAUUCGAAAGAGAUCAGGGGCAUCCUUGUUGGGCGUCAGGCGGACCACCGUGAGAUUUUAGUCGGCCCGAUACUAUCCCGCCGCUUCCUAAAAGAGCGGCGGGGUGUUCAUGAGAAUUUCCCCACGUAUAAAAAGAAGGAAAGGUCAUGUUACGUACAGAUAAAUUAAAAAAUGUAAGCGUACGUUAAUGUCAAAAUUUUUAAUCAAAUGUUUCGUUUAAAAGUGUUAGAAGUAUAAUCUAGGAAGGGAAAUAAUCAUGAUAGAGAAUAAAUUUUAAUACUUGCUUCUUUGAAUUAAAUAGUAUAUUUCUUAAACAAAUAAGUAGCCGUGUUAAAUUAAAUAUCUAAAAAGUUUUAAAAUUAGGUAAGGGUCUAAAACUGUAUUCAAUGUUCAUGGUUAUGAGAAAUUCACAGAAUCGGCGAAGUAAUUUUUGAUGGACUUAACGAGUGAUUUCUGACCAAUUCAGCUAGAAGAACUAUCGGAAAUUAACGUCUAAUUAACUUACUUGGUAUCUAGUACAUGAAAUAUAUGGACUAUAAUAGUUGCCCAAUAAAAAUAGCAUUUUAUGAAAAAUUCUGGAACCUAAUGGCAACUAUAAUAUUUUCGAUAUUAGAAACGAUCGUAUAUAUUCUUAUAAUUUUGUCAAUGUUAAUAAAUUCUGCUUAUAAUGCUCUAAUUCAGAAUUAAAAAUAUAUUCUUUUAAAUUUUAUAUGUAGGUAAUUUAAUUUUUAAUAAUGGUGUUAAAUAUAUAAUUUUUAAGUGUGUCAAUUGUUAAAAUUUGUAAUUACUUUUUGUGAAAUGAAAAUUACUGCUACUAAGAUACUGUAGUAAAUAAGUGCCAGUAAGAUACUGUACAAUUGUAGGAAUGAUCAAUAAAAGAACAAAGACGAAGGAAA
This is a long non-coding RNA of Bombus terrestris (buff-tailed bumblebee), 1228 nucleotides long. RefSeq lists it as uncharacterized. NCBI's taxonomy places the organism in Eukaryota, Metazoa, Arthropoda, Insecta, Hymenoptera, Apidae. The transcript is spliced from 2 exons. The record is from RefSeq and is a predicted model, not a curated record.